This 1988-nucleotide ribosomal RNA is filed under the name Planctomycetaceae bacterium. RNAcentral's name for it is "partial 23S ribosomal RNA". It matches the Rfam family "Bacterial large subunit ribosomal RNA", at positions 1 to 1987 of the family's 2925-position model. The record is from RNAcentral. Lineage: Bacteria; Pseudomonadati; Planctomycetota; Planctomycetia; Planctomycetales; Planctomycetaceae.
UGUGGCCAAGCUACUAAGAGCGUAUGGGGGAUGUCUUGGCGUCAGGAGCCGAUGAAGGGCGUGGAAGUCUGCGAUAAGCCCGGGGAAGUUGACAAACGAGCGUUGAUCCCGGGAUUCCCGAAUUGUCGUACGCUGAAUCCAUAGGCGUACGUCGGCAACGCAGUGAACUGAAACAUCUCAGUAACUGCUGGAAAAGAAAGAAAACUCGAUUUCCGUAGUAGCGGCGAGCGAACUGGAAAUAGCCCAAACCGCGGGGAUUUUCUCCGCGGGGUUGUAGGGCCUUCCACAUGGGAGUUACAAAGCAACCCGGUAGCCGAACUGCACUGGAAAGGCAGGCCAUAGAGGGUGACAGCCCUGUAGGCGAAAUCGGCGUUGCCUCCCGGAGGGUACCUGAGUAGGUCGGGUCACGUGGAACCCCGACUGAAUCUACGGGGACCAUCCCGUAAGGCUAAAUACUCCCUGACGACCGAUAGUGAACCAAGUAGGGCGACUGAAAGGUGAAAAGAACCCCUGUUAGGGGAGGGAUAAGAACCUGAAACCAUACGCUUACAAGCGGUCGGAGCACUAUGAUCUUGCACUUCGGUGCAUCCAAGUGUGACGGCGUGCCUUUUGCAUAAUGAUCCGGCGAGUUACCGUUUGCGGCUUGGUUAAAGCCUUCCGGGCUGGAGCCAUAGGGAAACCGAGUCUGAAUAGGGCGAAAUUGUCGCAAGUGGUAGACGCGAAACUGCGUGAACUACCCAUGAGCAGGUUGAAGCGUGAGUUAUAUCACGUGGAGGACCGAACCCACUUGGGUUGAAAACCGAGGGGAUGACUUGUGGGGAGGAGUGAAAGUCUAAUCAAACGCAGAGAUAGCUCGUUCUCUCCGAAAUAGCUUUUGGGCUAGCCUCGAGCCACUACGCACUGGGGGUAGAGAUACUGAAUCGGUUUGGGGCCCUUUCCGGGGUACCCUGCUGAACCAAACUCCGAAUACCAGUGCGACUAUCUCGGGAGUCAGUCCGCGGGGGAUAAGCUCCGCGGUCAAAAGGGAAACAACCCAGAUCAUCUGCUAAGGUCCCAAAGCAGGUCUUAGUCACUAAGGAAGUUGAAUUGCGGUGACAGCCAGGAUGUUGGCUUAGAAGCAGCCAUCAUUUAAAAAGUGCGUAACAGCUUACUGGUCGAGCAAUUCAGCGCCGAUAAUGAACGGGAGUAAGUCCUGCACCGAAGCAGUGGACGGCGCGCAAGCGCCGUGGUAGGAGAGCGCUGUAGAUCAGACACGAGUCGUACCGAAAGGAGCGAUGUUGGGGUCUACAGGUGAUUAUGCCGGAAUGAGUAACGAUAAAGCAGGUGAGAAUCCUGCUCGCCGAAAGCCUAAGGUUUCCUGGGGAAGGUAAUUCCGCUCAGGGUUAGCCGGUACCUUAGUCGAGGCCGAAAGGCGUAGACGAUGGAUAGCAGGUUAAUAUUCCUGCGCCGGGGUAGUGGACCGAUGGAGGGACGGCGUCCCGAAGGUGAUCAGCCGAUUAGAAAUGGCUGUAGGGCGUUGCGAGGUGGCGGGAUAGGUAAAUCCGCCCGCGGAAUCCAAGCGACGCACUCGAGGACAUUUAUGAUUCUGAAGUCAUUGGAGGGACGUCCAAGAAAAGCUUCUAAGGGUUGAAGCUACCUCGACCGUACUAAAACUGACACAGGUAGGCGAGACGAGAAGUCUAAGGCGCUCGGGAGAACACUGGUUAAGGAACUCUGCAAAAUGACCCCGUAAGUUCGCGAUAAGGGGUGCCCCCUAGGGUUAAUGCUUCGGGGGGCCACAGUAAAUCGGCAACAGCGACUGUUUAUCAAAAACACAGGACUCUGCUAACUCGCAAGAGGAUGUAUAGAGUCUGACGCCUGCCCGGUGCCGGUAGGUUAAGGAAGAGAGUUAGCCUUCGGGUGAAGCUCGCAACCGAAGCCCCGGUAAACGGCGGCCGUAACUAUGACGGUCCUAAGGUAGCGAAGUUCCUUGUCGGGUAAGUUCCGAC